Corvus hawaiiensis (hawaiian crow) is the source of this 5150-nucleotide long non-coding RNA. RefSeq lists it as uncharacterized. The record is from RefSeq and is a predicted model, not a curated record. The transcript has 8 exons. NCBI's taxonomy places the organism in Eukaryota, Metazoa, Chordata, Aves, Passeriformes, Corvidae.
UUUUCACUGUGCCCAUCACAUGCCUUGGCUGGGCACUGCUUGGGGCCAGGAAUCUGCUUCUUCCCUUCCUUGACUGCUCAGAAAAAUGAGUCAGCAUUUAUGAGGGUAGCCAGGAAUUUGUCCUGAAGAGCUGGGAUUGUGCUCCUGACUUCAUUCCCCACUGCCCCCCUUGCUCCCUGCCCAAAGUGGUGCCUCCCAAAUCCGUAUCACCAGAUCCUUUCCAUCACCCAGGUGGCACCUGGAGCCACCGAAGGGACCUGCCUGACACGAGGGUGCUGAGCACCCCCUCCCCUUGGGCGUGAACCCCGACCAUCCCCUGGCUUUGCUCCUCUCCUGGCAGCGUUUAAUCUUGACAAGGAGUGAGGAGAACGCCUGUCUAAAGCCCAGAUAAGUGAAAUUCCCUGAGCUGCUCUGGGCUGUGGCUGUGGGAGGAGCUGGGAUGAGCUUUGUUCUUGAUGAGGGUGUCCUGGCCACUGCUCACUUCCCGUCCCCUUUGCUGGCAGCCCAGUAAUAUCCUUAUGUUAUUCCUGAUUAUUUUUUCUUUUUCUGGAUGGAAAUAACGCUGUCAUGUUCUUCCAUCCUCCCUUUGCUGGCAGACAGGGAGAACAAUUGGCUUUUUCAAUUUCCUGCUCCUGGGCUUUUUUCCAUGAUGCCUCAACGAGAACUGUUCGGGGUUUGAGGUUCACUGCUCAGGCUCUGCAAACAUCCGUCUUCUCCCAUUAUGAUCCAGCCUAUUUCAGGGACAGCCCUUACCCUCCUGUCCUUGGUGUUAACUACCUGCUUGACAUCUUUAAUAAGACUAAUUAAAUAAUGUAUUGAACGUUCUGGCCUUGGCAUUGCUGAAAUCUUUCUCUAAAGAAUCAACAUGUUCCCCUGGUUUUCCUCUUAUCGUUGACUCUGGCAAGUUGCUCUUGCUGUACUUUGCCUUGGAAUAUAUUUUUUAUUAUUUUGCAAUUAAAAAAAAAAUUUAUCCUUUCAUGUUUGUGCAAUUGUACUUUUCAAUGCUCUCGAUUCUGCUACGUGCUCAUAAAAAAUUAUAUGUAAAUGUAUGCAUGAAACCUUCUGAAUUAGUGAUAUCAUGAUAGCUCCCAUGAUUUUUUUAAAAUAAUUUUUUUCCCCAUAACUUUUCCAGCAUAUUUUUGCUAAAGUGCAUGAUUCCUUAGUAGAUCAAAUCAUAUUUUCUCUUUUUUUUCCUUUUCCUUUCCUUUCUGAGCACCCUGUACCCUCUUGGUAUCCUACAAUAAUCAGCAGAGAGCUCAAAAUGCAUAAGAAAAUACCAACAUUCGUGUAAAAAGGAAAUUUAAUUAUAAUCAGAGCUUAGUUUUGGCUCUGCUUGAGAUUGUUUUUAAGGGCAGAAGCGGACUUUGUAAUUGGGGAAGUAUGAAGUGUAUUGCUUCUCAAAUGAGCUCCAGUAAUUAAAUAAGAAUUUCUAAAGAGCAGCAUCAUGCUGCCUCACUUCAAUGAAUUUUUACAACGAUACAAGAACAGCUCUCUGAUGGUUUUGACCAGUUCUUGCUAGAAUAGAUCAGUAUUAUAUUUAUGGCUUUAAAUGGUAAGAGCAAAUGUUGGUUUGUGCUGGGAGGUUUCUGCAGUUUUGUUGUACGUGCUGGCUGCAAACCUCGGGAUAAAUUCUCAGCGUUGACUUGCACUGUGACGAAAUACAACACUUAAAUUUGGUUUUUAAAGUCCCAAGAAAUAGUGUGAAACUUUUGUGCCAGGGAUUUGGAAGGUAAUCACAGGUUUGGGUUGGAAGAGAUGUUAAAGCUCCCUGAACCGUGGGCAGGGACACCUUCCAUGGACCAGGUUGGUUCAAGCCCCAUCCAGCCUGGCCUUGGACUCUUCCAGGGAUGCUCUUGAGGAUCAAGUGCCUGACAGUUUUAAUUUAUAAACACAGGAUCAUAGCUGUGAUGGUGCAGUCAGAAACAACAUGUUCUGAUGGUGAUUCCUUGGCUUUGGAUUGAAGUAAGGCCAGCAAACCCAGCUCUCUGAUGGGAGAGCUUGAAGCAAACAACAGGAGGGGUUUGUUGUCCUUGAGCCAAAACACAGGGAAAAAAACCAAUGACAGUGGAUUUAGAAUGAAACUUCUCCUAACUUUGAACUGUGAUCUUACCAACGAAUUCUCAGUUCAGCUGCUGUCUCCUCAGCCUCCCUAAAUUCCAUUUUGCAGGGGCUCUAUUUGUGAUCCUGCCCUGCUUUGCCCCUGCUGCUGUUCCAAAGGAGUGACCCAGCUGUCCCCUCGGAAGCUCCAACACUGUGGGAUCAGAAAUCUUUUCAAUGAAUUGAAAAGGUGGGGAAAAAAUAAAAAUCCAUGCCAAGUGCUCCAUGAUCUGCAUUUCAGGUUUUAGCCUUUUCCAGCUUCUGAGCACAAAUGUAUGAGAUGAUUUUAAUGAAGAUGUAUAGAGCAAGAGUCCCUAUUUCAGCAGUUCUGCUGUCGCCCAGGUAAUUAGCUCAGACACAGAGCUACUGCUGCCUUUGCUCCUGGCAGUGGGGAGGAAAUCCGAGGGGGCCUGCUGUUGUCAUGGGGAUGCUGAGGGUCAGCACCUCAGUGCCAGCAGGACAAGGCUCUUUUCUGGAGCACCAGUGGAGCUGCAAAGGUGUGGGAAAGCCCAUGCUGCUCCUUUAGCCUUUCAAGGUGUUUUCCUGUCUCACAGUUUCAUCCACGCUGAGACAAAAUGGCCAAACAACAGGGUAUUGUCUUCCCCUGCCUUGCUUAGGAAAAUGGUGAAGCUGUUGUGAAAAUGGAGUUUGAUUUUGUCACUCACUUAAAGCCCAAGUCACUCACAAAAACCAUGACCUGUAAUCCUUGCUUCAAGGACUGGGCAACAUAUGGUAGCAAUCCUGCUGAUUUUAACUCAAUUAUUUCCAGCUAAAUGAGGGAGGCUGUGCCAGAAACCUUACAAGGAGCUGACCUCCGUGGGUUUUGUUGCCCUUUUUGGCAGUCCCUACAAUACCCUGUAUGGUUUGAGACUCUUGGAAAUGCCAGCAGGAGAUUUAGGUGGAGAAUCCUCAGUUAGAGAGACCUGGCAUCAACUGGUUCAGCCAUUUGUUCCUGCACGAUGAAGGUUUUGGAGUGGGAUGUGUGUUGGUGCUGCUCACACCCUGCUGGUGCCUCCCCUGGAGUUGGUGUGUUAAAAGCAGGUUGAUUUCACUAUCACCACAAAGUUGGAGUUGGAAAGAACGGAUCCAUUGACACCUCCCAGAUCCUGGCACUAAAGAGGAUGAAAGCUGUGACGUGCUGGUACAGGAUUGAAAUUCAGGCAGGAAAACACCCAGGCUCAACACCAGGUAUUGGCAGUGCCCUGUGACAGGAGAGAAAUGCCUCCAGUGCCAGAGAUAAACAGGAGUGGAAAGAAUUUUAUCACUGAAAUGCUUCACUGGAGAUUCCUUGGCUUUCACAGAAUUCUAAGUGCUGACAUCCCCCUGGGCAUGGAUCACUGGGAGAGCAUCCACACCUCUUCAGUCCUAGGAAAUGCAGUGGAAAAGCUGUUUGGAAUAGCAGCCUGGAAAAUGCCAACCUUAAGCUGUGCUUCAAUCCCCCAAAGCCUCUGCAAUCCAAACCAGGAAAAGGAUGACAACUGAUGUAUUAAUCUGUAGGAGAGUCUGCUGAUUUUAUUUGAAGACUACAUGAAAUUAUUCAAGCUUCAAGCAAACAUUUCCUUCAUGCUUUUUUUGGAAGAAAAUCAGCAAAUUUUCUUUUUCAAGCAAGCCUUGCUUGUCUUUCACAGGAAGGAUGUUGGAAAAAAAACAAGUACAAGAACAGAGGCUGAUGAGGAUGAAGACAAGAAGAAAAGCACCUUUUUUUUUUUUUUUUUGAAGAGGAAUCUCCUAAUUUUGGAGAUAAACAGUUAUUUUGCUUGUAACUUAUACAAGGGGCGUUAUGCAGGGGUAUGCUUUGACACAUCAAAAUUAGAUAAAAAGCCAAAAAAAUAGGAUGUUUCAGACCAAAAUUUUUGAGGAUGAUGGAAGACAAGAUUUGAUGUUAAAAGAAAACAUUUAAGUUGCUUCCAAUUUGAACCAUUUGUCUGUUAACCUGACAGAAAUUGGAUUUUAAGUGAAGUCUUGCUUCCUCAAGUUUGCUUUCCCCAUCCCCCAGUUAGGAAAUGAACCAUCAGGUGAUGGGCAAAGAGGAAAUGGAAUUUCCCUGCUCCAUCAUCUGAAUCAUGAAAAUGAAUUAAAAUUGAAGGUGAUUUUGCUAUGUGGGGUUAAUUCUGUAUGAGAUAUUUGAAGACUGAGCAGCAGUAAAAAGAACAUGGAGGGAAAAGCAUUUUUCAUACACCUUCAAUCUAGAAUCCAAUUCCAAAGUGUUCUCCCUUGAUUUCAGUCUCUAAAGCUGUCAGAAAUCACACCUGAAUUGGGCCCAGUGCUGUUGGGUUUAUUAUUCUGAUAUGAAAACAGGAAAUGGCCAAACAGGUGCAUUUUUCCAAGGAAUUGCCAUUCUUUGCCUGUUCCCGGCCAUGCCAGCCAGGAGCAGAGGUGCAAUCCCCUUCUCCCACCUCCCAGCCCAGUUGGGGCCAUGGCAGAGAGUUUCUUCUCAGAGUUUUAAAAGUGCCUAGAAGAGAAAUAGAUGAACUUGUUCCACUUUUGGUACAUUUUUACAAGCACACGAAGAAGAAACUGGCUUUUGGGUGUUCUUGUAAAUAUUUUACUGGAAAGUGGCCUCACGAGGGACUCUCUCUUUUGUUGGAGCCAGAUUCCUCAGAAAUAGUGCUUUUAAUAAAAAUUGCUUUGGGAUCCCAUCAACUCGUCCUAGUUUCCAGCUCUGCAGCAAUGUGAGGUAUUUCUUAGAGUAUGUGCUUUUUUUGGGAGCCAUUUAUGGUAAUGCAGGAACCUCUAGACCGGUUCCUAAUUUUUACAUAAUUAAAAUUUCAUUAAAAAAAAGGAAGAUGAUUAGAAGCCUUAUUAUGUAAGUUGGAUUUCUGGCUAACUUGCUAAACAGCUUGUAUUUGUAUGAGUAGGCUGUGUCACAUCUGAUUUGCAGAUAGCUCCUUACCUGAUCUGCAGCCCUCCAAAGGAGUGAAGAAACUUUCUUUUGGAUUUAAAGGGCUCUUGGUGGGACCUUAAAUCCCUUCAUCCCCCUGUGGAAACAGAGGCUGGCUCUGAUGUGGGAAGCAGCUUUUUGCCCAGAGAAAUUGUGUAUGCUCCAUCCCUGG